ACGCUCGACACCUACGGGAGGUAGCAGUGGGGAAUAUUGCACAAUGGGGGAAACCCUGAUGCAGCGACGCCGCGUGAGCGAAGAAGUAUUUCGGUAUGUAAAGCUCUAUCAGCAGGGAAGAAGAAAGACGGUACCUGACUAAGAAGCCCCGGCUAACUACGUGCCAGCAGCCACGGUAAUCUGAGCGGGCUGGCAAGGC
RNAcentral lists this ribosomal RNA (199 nucleotides) under uncultured bacterium. Its description in RNAcentral is "partial 16S ribosomal RNA". It matches the Rfam family "Bacterial small subunit ribosomal RNA", at positions 328 to 539 of the family's 1533-position model. The record is from RNAcentral.